This 47-nucleotide unclassified non-coding RNA is filed under the name Sorangium cellulosum So ce56. RNAcentral's name for it is "sce_HepC_CRE_2". The record is from RNAcentral. Lineage: Bacteria; Pseudomonadati; Myxococcota; Polyangiales; Polyangiaceae.
GAUCAAAACCAGCGCUGGCGGCAUGGCGUGGCGCCUGAGGCGCUGUA